ACGCGCUGGCGGGACUCGGUGAAAUUCCGAACCGGCGGUGAUCCGAUGCGCACGCAUCGGUAGCCCGCGACCCGGACGUCGACCAUGACGGACGGUGGACCUGGUGAGACUCCAGGGCCGACGGUUGAUCAGGCGAAAGCCCGGUCAGACAGUCCGGAUGGGAGACAGCGCGC
Molecule: non-coding RNA, 173 nt
Filed under: Actinoplanes missouriensis
Lineage: Bacteria; Bacillati; Actinomycetota; Actinomycetes; Micromonosporales; Micromonosporaceae
Also listed under: 1 other name
Description: FMN sequence
Rfam family: FMN riboswitch aptamer (RFN element)
About the family: The RFN element is a highly conserved domain that is found frequently in the 5'-untranslated regions of prokaryotic mRNAs that encode for flavin mononucleotide (FMN) biosynthesis and transport proteins. This element is a metabolite-dependent riboswitch that directly binds FMN in the absence of proteins.
Source: RNAcentral